Molecule: ribosomal RNA, 253 nt
Filed under: uncultured bacterium
Lineage: Bacteria
Description: partial 16S ribosomal RNA
Rfam family: Bacterial small subunit ribosomal RNA
Source: RNAcentral
UACGUAGGUGGCAAGCGUUGUCCGGAAUUAUUGGGCGUAAAGCGCGCGCAGGCGGUCCUUUAAGUCUGAUGUGAAAGCCCACGGCUCAACCGUGGAGGGUCAUUGGAAACUGGGGGACUUGAGUGUAGAAGAGGAAAGCGGAAUUCCACGUGUAGCGGUGAAAUGCGUAGAGAUGUGGAGGAGCACCAGUGGCGAAGGCGGCUUUCUGGUCUGUAACUGACGCUGAGGCGCGAAAGCGUGGGGAGCAAACAGG